This 441-nucleotide ribosomal RNA is filed under the name uncultured bacterium. RNAcentral's name for it is "partial 16S ribosomal RNA". It matches the Rfam family "Bacterial small subunit ribosomal RNA", at positions 338 to 795 of the family's 1533-position model. The record is from RNAcentral.
CCUACUGGUGACAGCAGUGGGGAAUAUUGCACAAUGGGGGAAACCCUGAUGCAGCAACGCCGCGUGAAGGAAGACGGUUUUCGGAUUGUAAACUUCUGUUCUUAGUGAAGAAUAAUGACUGUAGCUAAGGAGCAAGCCACGGCUAACUACGUGCCAGCAGCCGCGGUAAUAAGUAGGUGGCAAGCGUUGUACGGAAUUACUGGGUGUAAAGGGAGCGAAGGCGGGAGCGCAAGUCAGAUGUGAAAACUCAGGGAUCAACACUGAGCCGGCAUUUGAAACUGUGGUUCUUGAGUGUUGGAGAGGAAAGUGGAAUUAAGUGUGUAGAGGUGAAAUGAGUAGAUAUAAGGAGGAAAAAAAGUGGAGAAGGAGAAUUGAUGGAAAGUAAAUGAAGAUGAGGAGAGAAAGAGUGGGGAGAAAAAAGGAUUAGAUAAAAAUGUAGGC